This 428-nucleotide ribosomal RNA is filed under the name uncultured bacterium. RNAcentral describes it as "bacterial SSU rRNA". It matches the Rfam family "Bacterial small subunit ribosomal RNA", at positions 355 to 775 of the family's 1533-position model. The record is from RNAcentral.
UGGGGAAUUUUGGACAAUGGGCGCAAGCCUGAUCCAGCAAUGCCGCGUGAGUGAAGAAGGCCUUCGGGUUGUAAAGCUCUUUUGUCAGGGAAGAAACGGGUGCGGCUAAUAUCUGCAUCUAAUGACGGUACCUGAAGAAUAAGCACCGGCUAACUACGUGCCAGCAGCCGCGGUAAUACGUAGGGUGCAAGCGUUAAUCGGAAUUACUGGGCGUAAAGCGUGCGCAGGCGGUUUUGUAAGUCUGUUGUGAAAUCCCCGGGCUUAACCUGGGAAUGGCAAUGGAGACUGCAAGGCUAGAGUUUGGCAGAGGGGGGUAGAAUUCCACGUGUAGCAGUGAAAUGCGUAGAGAUGUGGAGGAACACCGAUGGCGAAGGCAGCCCCCUGGGUCAAGACUGACGCUCAUGCACGAAAGCGUGGGGAGCAAACAG